CUAAUACCCAAUGAUAUCUCUAGAAGACAUCUGAAAGAGAUUAAAGAUUUAUCGGUGAUGGAUGGGGAUGCGUCUGAUUAGCUUGUUGGCGGGGUAACGGCCCACCAAGGCAACGAUCAGUAGGGGUUCUGAGAGGAAGGUCCCCCACAUUGGAACUGAGACACGGUCCAAACUCCUACGGGAGGCAGCAGUGAGGAAUAUUGGUCAAUGGACGAGAGUCUGAACCAGCCAAGUAGCGUGCAGGAAGACGGCCCUAUGGGUUGUAAACUGCUUUUAUAAGGGAAUAAAGUUAGUCUCAUGAGACUUUUUGCAUGUACCUUAUGAAUAAGGACCGGCUAAUUCCGUGCCAGCAGCCGCGGUAAUACGGAAGGUCCGGGCGUUAUCCGGAUUUAUUGGGUUUAAAGGGAGCGUAGGCCGGAGAUUAAGCGUGUUGUGAAAUGUAGACGCUCAACGUCUGCACUGCAGCGCGAACUGGUUUCCUUGAGUACGCACAAAGUGGGCGGAAUUCGUGGUGUAGCGGUGAAAUGCUUAGAUAUCACGAAGAACUCCGAUUGCGAAGGCAGCUCACUGGAGCGCAACUGACGCUGAAGCUCGAAAGUGCGGGUAUCGAACAGGAUUAGAUACCCUGGUAGUCCGCACGGUAAAC
This 646-nucleotide ribosomal RNA is filed under the name uncultured bacterium. RNAcentral describes it as "bacterial SSU rRNA". It matches the Rfam family "Bacterial small subunit ribosomal RNA", at positions 163 to 807 of the family's 1533-position model. The record is from RNAcentral.